Molecule: unclassified non-coding RNA, 236 nt
Filed under: Hevea brasiliensis (rubber tree)
Lineage: Eukaryota; Viridiplantae; Streptophyta; Magnoliopsida; Malpighiales; Euphorbiaceae
Source: RNAcentral
AAAAUCAUGAACCUGAACCAAACUGUCAUGGGACAGUUUGGAAGACGAUUCCUACACCGCCGGUUUCGAUUCGAGCCUUGGUUUAAAACAGUUUGAAGGACAGUUCAAAAAAUGACGGUUCAAGACGGUUUGAAGGACAGUUUGAGAGCGCUUUAGGGGUGAUUUAAGAGCGAUUUAGAUGGAAAAAUUAGUGAAAAAUUUUAUUAAUUUAGAAUUUAAGUUAUAUUUGUAAAAAU